This 215-nucleotide long non-coding RNA is filed under the name Carica papaya (papaya). Its description in RNAcentral is "long non-coding RNA (CPAP_LNC007135)". Lineage: Eukaryota; Viridiplantae; Streptophyta; Magnoliopsida; Brassicales; Caricaceae. The record is from RNAcentral.
CUAAUAACUUAAACUCUAACAUUUGGGUGUUGGUGGUCUGAGUCUAAAAAGUUAUUGUGCCAAUAAUAUUAAAGUCUAGGAUGUAUGAUGGUACAAGAGCAUGUGCUAACUUCGUGGCUCCGAACUAGUGUAGUUUCAAUAUUGUGAACUUUUGGAUUAUAAUUUUUGGUUGUGAUGUAUGACCUUAAUGAGAACUUAAAAAAAAAAAAGAAUGU